Cygnus olor (mute swan) is the source of this 1857-nucleotide long non-coding RNA. RefSeq lists it as uncharacterized. The transcript is spliced from 6 exons. Lineage: Eukaryota; Metazoa; Chordata; Aves; Anseriformes; Anatidae. The record is from RefSeq and is a predicted model, not a curated record.
UCUCCAAGUCUGAUCUUCCACCUUUCCAGAGGACAGCUGCCUUGAGAGCAGCAUAACUCGGAGCUGCAUGCUCAUAACAUGAAGUAGAAGAGAUGGGCCUAUCUCUGUCCUUCAGUUCUCCAUAGGCAAAAUUAUUACAGGUGUCUGCAUCAUCUGGAAGGGACAUCCACUGAAAUGUUUCCUAGAAAAAGGUUAGGGCAGAACAAGCACAUAAAGAGGAGGCCAGGUGAAGACAGGAAGAUGGCUAGAAGAUGGGUGUCAAGCCUACACAGGGCACACAGAAAAACACUUACUGCCUUGAGUGUACACCACUCUCGAACACAGACUGGAAACCAAGCUGGAGAGUCCUACGGUUGUUGUGCUGCCAACAAAGCCUCCUGAAAUGUGCUAAUUACAUGUGUCUGCUUAUGUAUAGAUUGGUAACAGGGAUGCCCCGAAUACAUAUACAUGUAAAAUACAAGCCUCAUGGUCACAGGGAAAUGGUUAAGGUCCUCCACAGUGAACCUGAAGACAAGGAUAUCAGAAGACAAAUAGACCUUCAGGGAAAAAAGACUGCACCACGCUGAGGUUAUGGACAGCUUUGGAAAGUCCAGCACUGAAGUUCUGCUGUGGUUGCCCCCCUCUCAAUCAGUAUGGGAUUUCCCCCACCUCGGCCCGCAAUUUCUAGCUCUCCUAAGUAUGGAAACUGGGAAACAAUGGAAAAAAUGAGGCAGCCUGCCCUUUCAGAAGACAUUUUGUAAUGUCACUGUGCUUCCCUGCUCACAGCCCGUAGGUGAUGUUGAUCGUGGUUACAGGAAAUGCCAUGAGCAAUUUGCAAAGCGAAAGCAGCUUACUCUCGGGUUAGGGCUUGCCUGGCUGGGAAGUGCCGCGCCGCGCCGCAUGCUUGGAGAGGAGCAGCCUGGGGAGAAGUUUGUGCAGUUCUUCCAAUGGUGGUGCAGAAAUGCAAGGGCAGCUUGAGGCCAGCGUGACAUGUCAGAAAGCCCUAGCUUAAAGUUGCCACCUUACUAGAGGAAGCCAUUUCUAGACCUUUUUUCACCUUAUCCUGUUGUAUAUUUACUCCAGGAUAUGGCACAGAUUAAGCCCAAGAGCACACAUACCAAGCGCUUCUGUCAGUCCCAACAAAUUCCCUCCCUCAGUGUAUCACAUCACAUUUCUGCUAGUCUGGAAUUGGAGAUGGGUUUGGCAUUUCUGUGGGCUUACACCAGGGCUGCGAAGACUCCUCAGCCACUAUCUGGAAAGUAAAAGAGACAUGGUGUUGAAAAAACUCAUUGCUUUUCAGUCCCUCUCAGGGGCCUACAGCUCUUGGGGACAGCAGGUGGCUGCUGGGCUCUCCAGGUAGCCCUGCUCAUGCCUCAGUGCUCCCACAAACAGUGUGAUUCCCGAGCAUGUUGAGAGCUCUCCCUGCUCUGUUCCUGCCUUCCCAUGUUUCCUUGAAAUCCUCUACUUGCCAUUCAGAGUGAAAAUCUGGGUUAUACAGUGCAAUUUCUUCCCAGUAAGUUCUAGUACAAAAACUGGGGGGAAUGGGGUAGUGGGUGGGAAGGAGGAGAGCAAUGGGAAUGUACCACAGCACCACAUCUAUUCGGCUCCUUGUUUCAUGGUGGGGUACCAGCCUCACCAAGAGCUCCUAGCCAAGAUCUACAUCUUCUGUGGGCAGGAUGGAUGACGCUAAACCCAGCCGUGCCCUCAACACCACCUGGAGAGAUGUCAGCCUGCACUGGCUUUCCACUGCAUGCACCAGCAAGGAGGGCAAGGCACUAGCUGCACAUGAUCCCCAGCCUGCAUCACUUUUCAACCAACAAACCGCAUUUUCAGCCUGCAGAAAAUGAAAAUAAAUAAAUAAAUCAUAGCCCUAAGAGG